GGAUCAUUCUGGUAGAACCGCAGUACUUGAACUCUUCACCAGUUAAGGGCAAAAAGGGAAAUUGUGAAUUUUCGCUUUGGUGCUUAGGUUUACAGGGACAUGACCCUUAACUGACAUCUGACAUCAGAUACCCAAGUGUGCUCAGCUCUGGGUAGAGUUGCUGCAGUUACGCUUGUUAAAUAAUGAACAAUAACUCACCACUAGUCACUUUAUACCCAUAACUAACUCUGGCUCUUAUGGUCCCUGGUUACUGGUGUAAGGGCUGAAAUUUAUUUUGUCUCAUUCUGGGAAGACCCCUGUUGAUCUUGGGAAUGUCUGAAAAAAUACUGUGGUGUAACAGUAAUCUGAAUUUGUGUUGACACUAUUCACAUUUCUUUAGCCCCUGCUGGCUCUUUGGGCUGAAUGAAGAGGUCCUGUACAGAACCUUCCCGAAUGAAGAAGCCUGGCAGUGGGGAGUGGG
RNAcentral lists this long non-coding RNA (460 nucleotides) under Bos taurus (domestic cattle). RNAcentral describes it as "long non-coding RNA NONBTAT014128". Lineage: Eukaryota; Metazoa; Chordata; Mammalia; Artiodactyla; Bovidae. The record is from RNAcentral.